CGCGUAGGCGGCUCGGCAAGUCGAAUGUGAAAGCCCACGGCUCAACCGUGGAAGUGCAUUCGAAACUGCUUGGCUUGAGUCCCGGAGAGGGUGGCGGAAUUCCCAGUGUAGAGGUGAAAUUCGUAGAUAUUGGGAGGAACACCGGUGGCGAAGGCGGCCACCUGGACGCGGACUGACGCUGAGGCGCGAGAGCGUGGGGAGCAAACA
This 207-nucleotide ribosomal RNA is filed under the name uncultured bacterium. RNAcentral describes it as "partial 16S ribosomal RNA". It matches the Rfam family "Bacterial small subunit ribosomal RNA", at positions 568 to 774 of the family's 1533-position model. The record is from RNAcentral.